This 457-nucleotide ribosomal RNA is filed under the name uncultured bacterium. RNAcentral describes it as "bacterial SSU rRNA". It matches the Rfam family "Bacterial small subunit ribosomal RNA", at positions 62 to 513 of the family's 1533-position model. The record is from RNAcentral.
UCGAGCGGAGAUGAGGUGCUUGCACCUUAUCUUAGCGGCGGACGGGUGAGUAAUGCUUAGGAAUCAGCCUAUUAGUGGGGGACAACAUUCCGAAAGGAAUGCUAAUACCGCAUACGUCCUACGGGAGAAAGCAGGGGAUCUUCGGACCUUGCGCUAAUAGAUGAGCCUAAGUCGGAUUAGCUAGUUGGUGGGGUAAAGGCCUACCAAGGCGACGAUCUGUAGCGGGUCUGAGAGGAUGAUCCGCCACACUGGGACUGAGACACGGCCCAGACUCCUACGGGAGGCAGCAGUGGGGAAUAUUGGACAAUGGGGGGAACCCUGAUCCAGCCAUGCCGCGUGUGUGAAGAAGGCCUUAUGGUUGUAAAGCACUUUAAGCGAGGAGGAGGCUACUGAGACUAAUACUCUUGGAUAGUGGACGUUACUCGCAGAAUAAGCACCGGCUAACUCUGUGCCAGCA